RNAcentral lists this ribosomal RNA (189 nucleotides) under uncultured bacterium. RNAcentral describes it as "partial 16S ribosomal RNA". It matches the Rfam family "Bacterial small subunit ribosomal RNA", at positions 1306 to 1500 of the family's 1533-position model. The record is from RNAcentral.
UGCAACCCGACUCCGUGAAGCUGGAUUCGCUAGUAAUCGCGCAUCAGCCAUGGCGCGGUGAAUACGUUCCCGGGCCUUGUACACACCGCCCGUCAAGCCAUGGGGAGCCGGGGGGUGCUUGAAGUGCGUCGCCGCAAGGCGCGCCCUAGAGCAAAACCGGUGACUGGGGCUAAGUCGUAACAAGGUACC